RNAcentral lists this ribosomal RNA (484 nucleotides) under uncultured bacterium. RNAcentral's name for it is "partial 16S ribosomal RNA". It matches the Rfam family "Bacterial small subunit ribosomal RNA", at positions 30 to 507 of the family's 1533-position model. The record is from RNAcentral.
AUUGAACGCUAGCGGGAUGCCUUACACAUGCAAGUCGAACGGCAGCACGGACUUCGGUCUGGUGGCGAGUGGCGAACGGGUGAGUAAUGUAUCGGAACGUGCCCAGUAGCGGGGGAUAACUACGCGAAAGCGUAGCUAAUACCGCAUCCGCCCUACGGGGGAAAGCGGGGGAUCGUAAGACCUUGCCCUCUUGGAGCGUCCGAUAUCGGAUUAGCUAGUUGGUGGGGUAACGGCUCACCAAGGCGACGAUCCGUAGCUGGUUUGAGAGGACGACCAGCCACACUGGGACUGAGACACGGCCCAGACUCCUACGGGAGGCAGCAGUGGGGAAUUUUGGACAAUGGGGGAAACCCUGAUCCAGCCAUCCCGCGUGUGCGAUGAAGGCCUUCGGGUUGUAAAGCACUUUUGGCAGGAAAGAAACGUCGCGGGUUAAUACCUCGCGAAACUGACGGUACCUGCAGAAUAAGCACCGGCUAACUACGUG